AGACGCGGGAGGCCGAGGUCCGGGUGGCCGCCGCGGCCGCCCCCGAAGCGCUGCUGUCACCCCGGCCGCGCCCCCCAACUUUCUGCACAGUCGCGGAGCUGGAAGUUUCCGGGCUUCGCGGACACGCUGGGCUGGGUUUCAGUCGCGGCUCCGAGGUAAACAAGCAAGUUCCACGCCCCAGUCCUGCUGGGGCCUUCGCCAGCCACCGCUCUGGGCUCAUCUCCCGGCGCCUCCUCGGGGCACCUGAGUGUUUUAAGCCCACUGCCAAGUGUUUUGGACACAGGUUUUUUUGCGGGGUGGUGAGGUUGGGCACAAGAUGCUUCCUAAAAGGUUGUUGGCACGCAGACCAUGGCCCCAGUGACGGCGCGGCAGGCAGGGGCUUGGAGGAACACGCUGUCUUUGUCUCGUCCCCAAAGCACCCGGCCGUGGGUCACCCGUGAUCCCUGGAGUGGAGGGACUGUUGUCACCCCUGGUGCUCCAGGAGAAGAGGUUCCAUGCUGGGUCCCGGGCCCAGGCCCACGGUGCCCUCAGCCCGCAGUUCUUCACCUUGCGGAAUGAUUUGCUGGCCCGGCCCAGCGCCCCGGCACCACCAUUUUCUGCCCUCUUUUCCCUGCCUGGCUUCAAACCCUCCCAGGCCAGGGUCCUGAGGAGACACCUGGGCUGGGGGAGGCAACUGAGUGGCCCCAGGCCUGGGAAUCUGCAAAAGUGGCCAAGCCACAUCUCUCGAGACUGCAAGGGCCCUGGAGGCGCUGGGAGGCACAGAUCUGGCUGCCAGCUGGGCCUGAGGCCUCCCUUUGUCCGUCCUUCUUGUCCUUCCUCACCAGGCGUGUUUAUGGAGAAGACACUCC
Molecule: long non-coding RNA, 848 nt
Filed under: Pan troglodytes (chimpanzee)
Lineage: Eukaryota; Metazoa; Chordata; Mammalia; Primates; Hominidae
Description: long non-coding RNA NONPTRT009821
Source: RNAcentral